CAAGUCGAGGGGUAACAGGGAUUGCUUGCAAUCCGCUGACGACCGGCGCACGGGUGCGUAACGCGUAUACAAUCUACCUUACACUGAGGGAUAGCCUUUGGAAACGAAGAUUAAUACCUCAUGGUAUGUUAGUAUGGCAUCAUACAAACAUUAAAGGUUACGGUGUAAGAUGAGUAUGCGUUCUAUUAGCUAGAUGGUGUGGUAACGGCACACCAUGGCGACGAUAGAUAGGGGCCCUGAGAGGGGGAUCCCCCACACUGGUACUGAGACACGGACCAGACUCCUACGGGAGGCAGCAGUGAGGAAUAUUGGGCAAUGGAGGCAACUCUGACCCAGCCAUGCCGCGUGCAGGAAGACUGCCCUAUGGGUUGUAAACUGCUUUUAUACAGGAAGAAACCGCUCUACGUGUAGAGCCUUGACGGUACUGUAAGAAUAAGGAUCGGCUAACUCCGUGCCAGCAGCCGCGGUAAUACGGAGGAUCCAAGCGUUAUCCGGAAUCAUUGGGUUUAAAGGGUCCGUAGGUGGAUAAUUAAGUCAGAGGUGAAAUCCUGCAGCUCAACUGUAGAAUUGCCUUUGAUACUGGUUAUCUUGAGUUAUUAUGAAGUAGUUAGAAUAUGUAGUGUAGCGGUGAAAUGCAUAGAUAUUACAUAGAAUACCAAUUGCGAAGGCAGAUUACUAAUAAUCAACUGACACUGAUGGACGAAA
This 705-nucleotide ribosomal RNA is filed under the name uncultured Bacteroidota bacterium. RNAcentral describes it as "bacterial SSU rRNA". It matches the Rfam family "Bacterial small subunit ribosomal RNA", at positions 58 to 758 of the family's 1533-position model. The record is from RNAcentral. Lineage: Bacteria; Pseudomonadati; Bacteroidota.